GACCUCAAAUCAGGUAGGGCUACCCGCUGAACUUAAGCAUAUCAAUAAGCGGAGGAAAAGAAACUAACAAGGAUUCCCCUAGUAACGGCGAGCGAACCGGGAUGAGCUCAAAUUUGAAAUCUGGCGCCCUCCGGACGUCCGAGUUGUAAUCUAUAGAAGCGUUUUCCGUGCCGGACCGUGUCCAAGUCCCUUGGAACAGGGUAUCAAAGAGGGUGACAAUCCCGUACUUGACACGACGACCGGCGCUCUGUGAUACGUUCUCUACGAGUCGAGUUGUUUGGGAAUGCAGCUCAAAACGGGUGGUAAAUUCCAUCUAAAGCUAAAUAUUGGCGAGAGACCGAUAGCGAACAAGUACCGUGAGGGAAAGAGAAAAGCACU
Molecule: ribosomal RNA, 378 nt
Filed under: Biatoropsis macaronesica
Lineage: Eukaryota; Fungi; Basidiomycota; Tremellomycetes; Tremellales; Tremellaceae
Description: Biatoropsis sp. AMM-2022d partial large subunit ribosomal RNA
Rfam family: Eukaryotic large subunit ribosomal RNA
Source: RNAcentral